AUUUCUUAGAUCAACUUGAACCUAAGAUCCUCAAAGCAAGAUUCCUCUCUGGAUUGAAAGAAAUGACCAACAAAACAUUAUAUGGCUGGUCAAUCUAGGCUCUGUCGAAAAUAUAUAGCAAACUUCACUGCCAAUUCCUGUCAUUGCAUGUUUCGGUUGAACACCGGUCAUGAAGACACUAAAACUGGUGUUUGAUUUUCUCCCGAACUCUCUAAACUACGGGUUUUCUGCUCUCUUUGACCUUCAAUGCACUGUUGAGUCGAUCUACCCUCGAGUUUUUUAGUCGAGUGGCUGGACAAGAAGGAUCGACUAAUCAGUUUUUAAGCAUCUGACAAAAGCUGUGACCACCCCCACGCUGUUCAUGUAAAUCAAGUCCAAUCGACCAAACUUCACCUGUGAAUUCUUCCACUCAGAUCCGAUUAAAUCAAGUCCAUAUGGUGAUAAGAAGCUGAUUGUGCUGAAUAAUCAUCAGGAAUCAUUUACUCCCAGAUU
RNAcentral lists this long non-coding RNA (492 nucleotides) under Populus tremula. RNAcentral describes it as "long non-coding RNA (PTRE_LNC002322)". The record is from RNAcentral. Lineage: Eukaryota; Viridiplantae; Streptophyta; Magnoliopsida; Malpighiales; Salicaceae.